AUUGAACGCUGGCGGCAGGCCUAACACAUGCAAGUCGAACGAGUGGCGGACGGGUGAGUAAUGUCUGGGAAACUGCCUGAUGGAGGGGGAUAACUACUGGAAACGGUAGCUAAUACCGCAUACCAUCGGAUGUGCCCAGAUGGGAUUAGCUAGUAGGUGGGGUAAAGGCUCACCUAGGCGACGAUCCCUAGCUGGUCUGAGAGGAUGACAGUCAACACUGGAACUGGGACACGGUCCAGACUCCUACGGGAGGCAGCAGUGGGGAAUAUUGCACAAGGGGGGCAAGCCUGAUGCAGCCAUGCCGAGUGUAUGAAGAAGUCCUUGGGGUUGUAAAGUACUUUCAGCGGGGAGGCGUUACCCGCAGAAGAAGCACCGGCUAACUCCGUGCCAGCAGCCGCGGUAAUUC
RNAcentral lists this ribosomal RNA (406 nucleotides) under uncultured bacterium. Its description in RNAcentral is "partial 16S ribosomal RNA". It matches the Rfam family "Bacterial small subunit ribosomal RNA", at positions 30 to 526 of the family's 1533-position model. The record is from RNAcentral.